Molecule: long non-coding RNA, 270 nt
Filed under: Gossypium barbadense (sea-island cotton)
Lineage: Eukaryota; Viridiplantae; Streptophyta; Magnoliopsida; Malvales; Malvaceae
Description: long non-coding RNA (GBAR_LNC000761)
Source: RNAcentral
GCCAAGGGACUCUAGCAUGGGAAAUUCGGCUAGGUAUUGUAGUAGUGGGAAUUUCAGCAUUUGGGGUGUGUUGUGCCGAAAUUCUGAUCAUCUUUUCUUCUCCUCUUUUCUUUAUUUCUUUUUCUCCAUCUACCUUCUCCUCUUCCUUCUCCAUAGCCGAACCCUUCUAUCUCUUUACUCUUCAUCACAUCCUUAAUCUUUUUAUUUUUAGCCUUAUAAGCCGAACAUCAUAAAAAGCCGAAAUCCUGAAAGCUUAUUCUUUUUGUGCCG